This is a long non-coding RNA of Oryzias melastigma (Indian medaka), 447 nucleotides long. RefSeq lists it as uncharacterized. The record is from RefSeq and is a predicted model, not a curated record. Lineage: Eukaryota; Metazoa; Chordata; Actinopteri; Beloniformes; Adrianichthyidae. The transcript has 3 exons.
GAUGUCAGAUCAAAGAGUAAAACACCUAAACCAACAUUCAAACCAUCUUCUGCAUCAACUUCUGCAGCUGAAUCCACAACAACCACAGGAUCAGUUCUGUCAACAUUCAAACCAUCAACUACAGCAGAUCAUGUCUCUAAAACAGGUGUUUGGUGGAGGAUCAUCUAUGUUCCUGUGGGUGUAGCAGCACUCUCAGUCAUCACUGUAUCAGUCUGGAUCUGGACCAGAACAUGAGGAGCAGAAUGAAGAAGUCUUUGAAGAUCUGAUGAUUCUCCUUCAAUGAUGAACACAUUCUAAAGUCAUCUUCAUUUUUCAUCACCAAAUGAUGAAACACCAGCUUUAGAUCAUGAUAGAAAUUAAUCUAUGCUGUCUGAAUUAAUCUGAAAGUUGUUUGUUAUUUUAAAUAAAUGUAAGAAUGUUGUUUCUCAACAAUAAAGUUAAAUCUAG